GGUUGUGGCUCAGCGGUAGAGUGCUCACCUAGCAUAUGUGGGGCUCUGGGUUCGAUCCUCAGCACCA
This 67-nucleotide transfer RNA is filed under the name Marmota monax (woodchuck). RNAcentral's name for it is "tRNA.Ala". Lineage: Eukaryota; Metazoa; Chordata; Mammalia; Rodentia; Sciuridae. The record is from RNAcentral.